UCCUACGCCUUUGAACGCCACAAAUCAGAGAUGGUACCAUGGAGGAACAUGAACAGGUAAAUAACAUCUUUGUGUGGCGUGUUGCAGCUGUCACAGCCGCCAGCAGACAGCCGACUCCCUCACCAGUAAACACCGCGGCUUAGGUGUUGCCCACCGGGCACCGGAAGGCGGCCCCCUUCUCGCUCUCCAGUGAAUGUUCCUAAAACAACUGCGGGGUCCAAGAGCACAGGGAGAACAGCGCCCCUGACGCAGGCUGCGCACCCGCCCGGAGGAGGCAGUGCGUCAGUCCUGAGGUCACCGCCACCCGCUCCCGGGGGACGGCCGCCUGGGCAGGUGAGGAGGCGACCACCUCCCAGACGCCUGCCGGAGCUGCGGCGCACCGACUCCCUGCUUCUCCGAGCGGCGAGCGCCACCUGGAGGCUCCCUCGAGAUCUGCAUUUAGGAGGCGACGGGUCCUUUCAUCGUUUUAUUCAUUAAACAUUUAUCGAGGCCUGGAGCGAUGGUUCAAGCCUGUAAUCCCAGCACUUUGGGAGACCGAGACGGGCGGAUCACUUGAGGUCAGGAGUUGGAGACCAGCCUGGCCAACAUGGCGAAACCCCAUCUCUACUAAAAAUACAAAAAUUAGCCGGGCACGGUGGCGCACACCUGUAAUCCCAGCUACUCAUGAUGAGGCUGAGGCACAAGAAUCGCUUGAACCCGAGAGGCGGAAGUUGCAGUGAGCGGAGAUGGAGCCACUGUGUGUUAGGCUCUGGCGACGUGGGGAGAAAUAAAGAUAAUGUCUUGUUUCCCAGGGCAUUAAUAGCGUGAUGGGGAAGACAGGCCAUCAACAAUGUGCAACACUAAGGGCUAGGAAAGAGGUGGAUACAAAGGAGGGAAUAAGGAAUGUGGUCAUUCCUUAAGGUGUUUAUUGGUGCCAGGUACUGUUCAAGGCACCAAAAAGAAUGGAACCAAACAGAGAUCCUGCUCCCAAAGAGCUCAUAGUGGAAGGACAGCCAGACAAGCUUAGAAUUACGGGACAGGCCUAAGAAGGAGCCAGACUGGGGACCAGAGGCGUCCGAAGGGAAGUCCAGGAAGUACCGCAGGAAAACGUGAUAUAUAUUAAAUCUUAAAGAAUGGGCAGGAUUUUGCCAGGCUUAGUGACAAGAUAUCUUCCGUAAAAUCGUGGAACUGAAAAGAAAGGAUAUAGGUUGAAGAAGGGCUAGUUCUGUGUCUGAAAUAGAAGGAACAUGAAAGAGAAGUGCUGGGACAUGGGGCAAAAAAGGGAGUUUGGGGCCAGAUCGUGAAAGCCUUGGUUUAACAGGUGAAAAGUUCAAAUUUGAUCCAGGUAGCUGGCAGAGUCAGAGGUUCUAAAGCAGAGACCUGCUCUAUAGAAAGCUCACCAUGAAGUACAGCAGUGAUGGUGGAUGAAGAUACCAACAGCUCAACCUCCUAUGUGCCAGGGAAAUGCUGAGCGCUUAGCACCUGAUAUUUAUCUUAAUUCUCUAAAUGGGCCUAUGGGGUAAGCAUAUUAUUAUCCCAAUUUUAUUGGAAUACUUCCCUGGUAGGGCCCCUAAACAGGUAGCCAUCAAAUGCCUGAUAAAUUCCAGCUAGCUUUAAAUUCUAGUCGCUACAGAGCAGAGCCCUUCCAUCGCACUGAGCUGAAGGAGCCAGAUGGGCAUUACAGACAAGACCCACUCAGUAGGUGAAAUCAACAGAGCCUAAUGACUAUCUAGAUCUGCAAGAUGAAGAAUAGGAAAGAGCUAAAGACAAGAUUAUGAUGAAAAGUUUGAUUUUGAAAUAAUACAUUUUUAAGAGCUGAGAAAAACCGUAUCCAUCAUCCAGAACAACCGCCUAUUCUACCCACACUCCCAGCACCACAUCAGUACACGUGUGCCUGUACUCACCAUUCUGCCUUGCCUCCUGCUGGCAUGGACGAGUGCUGCGUGUUCCUAAGUGCCACCUUCCGCUGUGCACUCGAUCCCAUCCUCGCGCCCAC
RNAcentral lists this long non-coding RNA (1975 nucleotides) under Homo sapiens (human). RNAcentral describes it as "HSALNT0034293". Lineage: Eukaryota; Metazoa; Chordata; Mammalia; Primates; Hominidae. The record is from RNAcentral.